AGGUCAGCCCUUCCUAUCUCGUAAUGACACCUGUGCACCUCCAUCCUUUUGAAAGGAGAGAGCCUAGUGAGCUGAUUCCAAGGUCAGGAGAGUGGAAGUUAAAAGAGCCUAAAGGGGACACUUUCCUGCCAUCAAUCCCAUGGCCGUGUGAGCAGAGCUUCCUGUCAGCCCGAGGUUUGACUGAAGUGGCUUUAAAGGUAACAGAGGAUUUUUCUGGGGCAUCUGCUGAAGGGGACAAGUCAUGGAAAGUGCUCAGUACUCAGAACAUCCCCAGCACCUGGAGGCCAGCAUUAGUCUUGACAGAAGUAAUGGGGAUUCUCCAUCCAGUGCGUGAGACCGAAGGAAGAGAAAGAACUCGGAGAACUCAGUUAUUCCAGCUCCAUUGCUGCAAAUGCAGAAGGAGUUAAGAAUUACAGAGAUGUCUGGCUCAGAAAUUUCCUUUCUCUAAAAUAGCUAUUUUAAAAAAAAAAGGCUGGGAGAAAUUUAGUUGUAUAUGUGUUUGUGCAUUUUUUACUGUCUACUCCCACUCAUCACAUAUAC
RNAcentral lists this long non-coding RNA (540 nucleotides) under Cebus imitator (Panamanian white-faced capuchin). RNAcentral's name for it is "lncRNA (ENSCCAG00000038159.1)". Lineage: Eukaryota; Metazoa; Chordata; Mammalia; Primates; Cebidae. The record is from RNAcentral.